AAAUUGAAGAGUUUGAUCAUGGCUCAGAUUGAACGCUGGCGGCAGGCCUAACACAUGCAAGUCGAACGGUAACAGAAAGCAGCUUGCUGCUUUGCUGACGAGUGGCGGACGGGUGAGUAAUGUCUGGGAAACUGCCCGAUGGAGGGGGAUAACUACUGGAAACGGUAGCUAAUACCGCAUAACGUCGCAAGACCAAAGAGGGGGACCUUCGGGCCUCUUGCCAUCGGAUGUGCCCAGAUGGGAUUAGCUAGUAGGUGAGGUAACGGCUCACCUAGGCGACGAUCCCUAGCUGGUCUGAGAGGAUGACCAGCCACACUGGAACUGAGACACGGUCCAGACUCCUACGGGAGGCAGCAGUGGGGAAUAUUGCACAAUGGGCGCAAGCCUGAUGCAGCCAUGCCGCGUGUAUGAAGAAGGCCUUCGGGUUGUAAAGUACUUUCAGCGGGGAGGAAGGGAGUAAAGUUAAUACCUUUGCUCAUUGACGUUACCC
This 490-nucleotide ribosomal RNA is filed under the name Escherichia coli. RNAcentral describes it as "bacterial SSU rRNA". It matches the Rfam family "Bacterial small subunit ribosomal RNA", at positions 1 to 480 of the family's 1533-position model. Lineage: Bacteria; Pseudomonadati; Pseudomonadota; Gammaproteobacteria; Enterobacterales; Enterobacteriaceae. The record is from RNAcentral.